This is a non-coding RNA of Leptonychotes weddellii (Weddell seal), 344 nucleotides long. The record is from RefSeq and is a predicted model, not a curated record. NCBI's taxonomy places the organism in Eukaryota, Metazoa, Chordata, Mammalia, Carnivora, Phocidae.
UCGGCUCUACCUCAGCAGCACGGGGCAGCCCUGCUCCUCCUCCCUGCCGCCUCACAUCUUCUCCUGCGCCGAGAGAGCCUUCCACCAGCUUUUCCAGGAGCAGCGGCCCCAGUGCUUCAUUCUCAGUGGAGAAAGAGGAUCGGGCAAGUCUGAAGCCAGCAAACAAAUAAUGAGACACCUCAUCUGCAGGUCUGGCUCCAGCAGACCCAUGUUUGAUUCCAAAUUUAAACAUGUCAUGUGCAUCUUGGAAGCCUUUGGACAUGCCAAGACAACGCUUAAUGAUCUGUCCAGUUGCUUCAUAAAAUAUUUUGAACUUCAGUUCUGCGAGAGGAAAAAACACCUAA